Non-coding RNA from Mycena latifolia, 94 nucleotides. Lineage: Eukaryota; Fungi; Basidiomycota; Agaricomycetes; Agaricales; Mycenaceae. The record is from the annotation of a GenBank genome assembly.
GACCUGCUGGUGCAAUGGUAGCACACCCGCUUUAUAUAAGAUUUUCUCAGUCAUUGUUGGGCGAGUGAUCCUUGUUCGAUUCAAGGGCAGGUUA